UGUUACCGACUUUCAUGACUUGACGGGCGGUGUGUACAAGGCCCGGGAACGUAUUCACCGCAGCGUUGCUGAUCUGCGAUUACUAGCGACUCCGACUUCAUGAGGUCGAGUUGCAGACCUCAAUCCGAACUGAGACCGGCUUUUUGGGAUUCGCUCCACCUUACGGUAUCGCAGCCCUUUGUACCGGCCAUUGUAGCAUGCGUGAAGCCCAAGACAUAAGGGGCAUGAUGAUUUGACGUCAUCCCCACCUUCCUCCGAGUUGACCCCGGCAGUCUCCUAUGAGUCCCCGCCAUAACGCGCUGGCAACAUAGAACGAGGGUUGCGCUCGUUGCGGGACUUAACCCAACAUCUCACGACACGAGCUGACGACAACCAUGCACCACCUGUACACCGACCACAAGGGGGCAACCAUCUCUGGCCGUUUCCGGUGUAUGUCAAGCCUUGGUAAGGUUCUUCGCGUUGCAUCGAAUUAAUCCGCAUGCUCCGCCGCUUGUGCGGGCCCCCGUCAAUUCCUUUGAGUUUUAGCCUUGCGGCCGUACUCCCCAGGCGGGGCGCUUAAUGCGUUAGCUACGACACAGAAACCGUGGAAAGGUCCCUACAUCUAGCGCCCAACGUUUACGGCGUGGACUACCAGGGUAUCUAAUCCUGUUCGCUCCACCAACAGUCUUUCGCUCCUCAGCGUCAGUUACGGCCCAGAGAUCUGCCUUCGCCAUCGGUGUUCCUCCUGAUAUCUGCGCAUUCCACCGCUACACCAGGAAUUCCAAUCUCCCCUACCGCACUCUAGUCUGCCCGUACCCACUGCAAGCCCGAGGUUGAGCCUCGGGAUUUCACAGCAGACGCGACAAACCGCCUACGAGCUCUUUACGCCCAAUAAUUCCGAGACGAACGCUUGCACCCUACGUAUUACCGCGGCUGCUGGCACGUAGUUAGCCGGUGCUUUUUCUGCAGGUACCGUCACUUACGCUUCUUCCCUACUAAAAGAGGUUUACAACCCGAAGGCCGUCAUCCCUCACGCGGCGUUGCUGCAUCAGGCUUUCGCCCAUUGUGCAAUAUUCCCCACUGCUGCCUCCCGUAGGAGUCUGGGCCGUGUCUCAGUCCCAGUGUGGCCGGUCACCCUCUCAGGCCGGCUACCCGUCGUCGCCUUGGUGAGCCAUUACCUCACCAACAAGCUGAUAGGCCGCGAGUCCAUCCCCAACCAAAAAAUCUUUCCACCACCAGACCAUGCGGCCGGCAGUCAUAUCCAGUAUUAGACGUCGUUUCCAACGCUUAUCCCAGAGUCAGGGGCAGGUUACUCACGUGUUACUCACCCGUUCGCCACUAAUCCACCCAGCAAGCUGGGCAUCAUCGUUCGACUUGCAUGUGUUAAGCACGCCGCCAGCGUUCGUCCUGAGCCAG
RNAcentral lists this ribosomal RNA (1395 nucleotides) under Curtobacterium sp. MG-2011-128-FN. RNAcentral's name for it is "partial 16S ribosomal RNA". Lineage: Bacteria; Bacillati; Actinomycetota; Actinomycetes; Micrococcales; Microbacteriaceae. The record is from RNAcentral.